This is a long non-coding RNA of Bombus terrestris (buff-tailed bumblebee), 2503 nucleotides long. RefSeq lists it as uncharacterized. The record is from RefSeq and is a predicted model, not a curated record. Lineage: Eukaryota; Metazoa; Arthropoda; Insecta; Hymenoptera; Apidae. The transcript is spliced from 2 exons.
GUUCUAACAUAAUAAGUAUUAUAUUUGCAAUAGACGGAGAAAAAUGAAGUUUUAUUCCCUUCUCAACACGUUGCAUUAUUUCUUCGCAAACCUGGAGUAUGUCAUGGCAGAUAAUCAGGUUAACGUUAUGGAAGGACGACGAUAACCUUUACUCGGCUCGAUACGCAAGACGAGAAAAGGUUCUGCCACGAAAUGGGUCUAAAAUCAAUAAUGCAGCUAAUAACAAGCGUCGAAUCCCCUGAAGUGAUGACGUUACAUCCAAUUUAGAGCCUCGCAUGUACGAUACCAAAGCGUGCAGGCUUCUCUUUGUGGGAUUUAAAGGCGAUCGACCAGAAGUAAGAGAGCCAGGAGCCGACCUAAACACAAGUUCAAACUUCAGUUGCAUGAGAAGGAGGAUUCUCCAAUGCACCGUGUGUCUCAACUUCCUUUAAGAUGCGAUCGAGCACAUCCUCGACGAACAACUAGUCUCAGCUUACAGGAUUUAGAAAAGGAUUCGUAAAAGUUUGCGACCUUGACUACAAAUCGACAAAAUCAACCGCCAAGUUUCACGUUCACGUGUGUACGUUAUCGUCGCUUCGCUUGAUCAUUGAAUGGUAGGAACUUCGCAGAUUGUAAAGUGCACUCGGUUGUGUAAUUUGAUGGGGUCGGUUUCCCUUUGUCAAUUGAACAGAAUUUAUGAGUGUAAUGGAACUUAAUUAAAUUGCGACGGAUUUUUAGAUCUUUUUUAAAGAUUUAAUUUGGAGAACAUUCAUUUUCCAAUUGUGUUUUGUCUAUUAUAAAUUAAUAACAAAAUUGCGAAUAAUGUUAAUAUCGAUAUCAAAAUUAAUGAAUAAAUGAAGUAGUUAAUGAACACAUAAUAAUUUAUGGAAUUUUUCUACAAAUGUUCAAAUAUUUUCAUGAGCUGCUACUACUCAUCACUAAUUUUUAUUAGGAAAAUAAUAUUAUUACAUUACUAAAAUCAUUAUGCUUUAUCGUACCAUGUUUUGUACAUCUCAUGAAGCUACGUAGAAAUCUUCAACCUGCUUCACAGAUUUUAAUUCCAAGUACGCUCUUCUCAAAGCAAAUUUCCUCAUUUUAACGGUCAUGGAAAGCUUCACGGUCAAUUGACGCCUAGCUUGAUCCAUUUGUGGCUAGGUUUAAUAAGGAGAGACGAUUGCACUGGUGCACUUCCGUCUCCCAUCCGUUUGAAUUGCUGUUUCUCCCUGGCCAAGCUUUCCACGGCUGUUACGUGUACAACGCGACAGAUAGUUUUCGGGUGCCGGCUGUUGGAACAGAGAGACACGAACUUGCGCUUCGUCCCAACGAUUGUGCCAGGCCUGUUCAGGACAAAAGCUGACUGUUGCCUGUGACACGGAUAAAGGGUAGCUGCGAGAUGCGUUUGAUAUCUUUUCCAAAUGCUUUUCGAUAUAUGUCUCGGUUUCGCCAGUAUAAAAUAAAUGCUGCGACCGUGCAACGCUUCCAAACUAACGGAUAUUUCGUAAAUUUUCCCGAACUGUACGGAGAUUUCAUGACUCGUGGGAUGGACGGACGCAUUUAUUUGCGCUAAAAGCUGUGAAAAUGCAUCGAAUAUUUGACAACGCGCUUGACGUUAUCACAUCUCUUUCAUCUCGUCGAUGCAUGUAUUAUAUAAAGCGAUGGAAUUUCCCAGAAGAUAACAAGAUACGUUUUUUUUUUUUUUUUUUUUUGGAGACAACUAUCGAAAAUUGUAGUAGUGAGUAUGAGUUACAUAGAGGAGCUGUUAAUGUGGCUGUGUGAUGUUGGAAUCCGUGAAAUUGCGAAACGAAAUUAAUAUCUUGACAUAUCAUUCAAGAAGAAAAUAAUUCUGCAUAUUUGCAGCGUUUAAUCGAUUUGGGGUCUUCGAGUGCACAACGGUUAUCAUUAUACCACAAUGACUGUAAAAUACAUAAAUUCGAUCGAGUUAUGAUCUUUUUACCAACGCUUCCGUUUUAUUAUUACAUUUCAUAUUUAUUAUAUUUUUGGCUCGUCACUGUAUAGUUUACGAUAAAAAAUAUGUGACACAAUAAACAUAAGAAAUACUAUGAUAUGUAGAAUACAAUGCAAUUUGAUGCUUUAUGAUAUAUGAAACCUUCGUGUCUCAUGGAAAAUGGAAGGAUCCAGGCUAACGAAGUGAAAUUGUCAGGCAGUGCGCAUAAGAUCUACGCGCUUCAUUUCGUGAUUCAUCCGCAAACAUUUAUGAUAUUCACUAUAUUUAAUGGAUAAUAUGCUAGAACGGACAUAAUUGGUUCUAGAACCUCGUUUGUCAUAAUAGAUAUAUUCGCUCCAAUGUACAUUGAAAUUUGUAUAUGUAUUAGGUGUAAUCCAUUCUAAGUCCACAAUCUGAAGUAAAUUCAGUAUACUCGUAUAAACAGAGAUAAUAUAUAAAUAAUACAGGACAAUGCCAUAUUAUUUUUCCCAACGAAAUAUAGAAUAAAAACCAAAAAUGAUGUAACACAAGAUAUUUGAAAUUUUCAUAGUAACAUAUAAUAAAAAGAAUAAAUCACGA